GGGGCCUUUGAGGCUUUAGUGGCGCAGCUAACGCGAUAAGUAGACCGCCUGGGGAGUACGGUCGCAAGACUAAAACUCAAAUGAAUUGACGGGGGCCCGCACAAGCGGUGGAGCAUGUGGUUUAAUUCGAUGCAACGCGAAGAACCUUACCUGGCCUUGACAUACUAGAAACUUUCCAGAGAUGGAUUGGUGCCUUCGGGAAUCUAGAUACAGGUGCUGCAUGGCUGUCGUCAGCUCGUGUCGUGAGAUGUUGGGUUAAGUCCCGCAACGAGCGCAACCCUUUUCCUUACUUGCCAGCAUUUCGGAUGGGAACUUUAAGGAUACUGCCAGUGACAAACUGGAGGAAGGCGGGGACGACGUCAAGUCAUCAUGGCCCUUACGGCCAGGGCCACACACGUGCUACAAUGGUCGGUACA
This 416-nucleotide ribosomal RNA is filed under the name Acinetobacter baumannii Naval-17. Its description in RNAcentral is "bacterial SSU rRNA". It matches the Rfam family "Bacterial small subunit ribosomal RNA", at positions 825 to 1241 of the family's 1533-position model. The record is from RNAcentral. Lineage: Bacteria; Pseudomonadati; Pseudomonadota; Gammaproteobacteria; Moraxellales; Moraxellaceae.